RNAcentral lists this ribosomal RNA (301 nucleotides) under uncultured bacterium. RNAcentral describes it as "partial 16S ribosomal RNA". It matches the Rfam family "Bacterial small subunit ribosomal RNA", at positions 509 to 807 of the family's 1533-position model. The record is from RNAcentral.
CAGUCGCCACGGGAAUACGGAGGGUGCAAGCGUUAUCCGGAUUUAUUGGGUUUAAAGGGUCCGUAGGCGGACUUAUAAGUCAGUGGUGAAAGUCUGUCGCUUAACGAUAGAACUGCCAUUGAUACUGUAAGUCUUGAGUAUAUUUGAGGUAGCUGGAAUAAGUAGUGUAGCGGUGAAAUGCAUAGAUAUUACUUAGAACACCAAUUGCGAAGGCAGGUUACCAAGAUAUAACUGACGCUGAGGGACGAAAGCGUGGGUAGCGAACAGGAUUAGAUACCCCGGUAGUCCCUGUCUCUUAUAC